This 550-nucleotide ribosomal RNA is filed under the name uncultured bacterium. RNAcentral's name for it is "bacterial SSU rRNA". It matches the Rfam family "Bacterial small subunit ribosomal RNA", at positions 355 to 896 of the family's 1533-position model. The record is from RNAcentral.
UAGGGAAUCUUCGGCAAUGGACGGAAGUCUGACCGAGCAACGCCGCGUGAGUGAAGAAGGUUUUCGGAUCGUAAAGCUCUGUUGUAAGAGAAGAACGAGUGUGAGAGUGGAAAGUUCACACUGUGACGGUAUCUUACCAGAAAGGGACGGCUAACUACGUGCCAGCGGCCGCGGUAAUACGUAGGUCCCGAGCGUUGUCCGGAUUUAUUGGGCGUAAAGCGAGCGCAGGCGGUUAGAUAAGUCUGAAGUUAAAGGCUGUGGCUUAACCAUAGUACGCUUUGGAAACUGUUUAACUUGAGUGCAAGAGGGGAGAGUGGAAUUCCAUGUGUAGCGGUGAAAUGCGUAGAUAUAUGGAGGAACACCGGUGGCGAAAGCGGCUCUCUGGCUUGUAACUGACGCUGAGGCUCGAAAGCGUGGGGAGCAAACAGGAUUAGAUACCCUGGUAGUCCACGCCGUAAACGAUGAGUGCUAGGUGUUAGACCCUUUCCGGGGUUUAGUGCCGCAGCUAACGCAUUAAGCACUCCGCCUGGGGAGUACGACCGCAAGGUUG